AUGCCCUGCGUCCUCCGCGCUUUUGAAAUGUUACGCCCUUUGGCACUAUUCCCCUGUGGCUCACGGUCGUAGUAUACAACCGACAGGUCUACACAUUUAUG
RNAcentral lists this ribosomal RNA (101 nucleotides) under uncultured archaeon. RNAcentral describes it as "partial 16S ribosomal RNA". The record is from RNAcentral.